GUUUUGUUCGCCCCAGAAAGAAAUUAAAAAAAGAUAAAGAAAAGCAAAUUGACGAAUGCAUCAACUGCUGCUGUGUGGCGUCAGUUGCUUUAAGCGAAUUCAGACGGUCGCGUGGUGAAAAUAUUGAACGGAAACCACUCGGCCAAAAGCCUUGUGUGAGACGAAAAGGACCAGGCGUCGUCAGUUAAGACUAUUCGGUCAGGUUAUUUUUCUGGUUGGAAAACAGAAAGAUCAUCAGAUUGGAUUCAACGACGGCGAGCUAACCCAGAGUGAUUUGAAAAACCAAGAACAUCAAAAAUUCUGGAAUAACAGACGGACUGUCUGUGUGGUAGGAUUGUAUCAGUCAUCGGACUGAUGCCUACAUUUUUCUUCUUUUUUUUUUUUCUUCCAAAGAGUGCACGCCAACGAACAUUUGGGAAAAAUCUAUUGCAAUAGAAAAACUGAGACAUUGAAUUAGUUGCCACUGCAACUAAUAUUGGACAAUUUUGACUUUGAUGAAACAAUUGACUUAGACUAAACUGAAGACUGUUAUUGUUAAAAUUGUUUAUUGUAUUGUUCAUUAAAAAAAAAAAAAAAAAAAAAUAUAUAUAUAUAUAUAUAUACAAAACUAGGAUUCCAAUUGCCUAAACCUGAUGUUUGAUGUGGUCAUUGUA
Corythoichthys intestinalis (scribbled pipefish) is the source of this 653-nucleotide long non-coding RNA. RefSeq lists it as uncharacterized. The transcript has 3 exons. The record is from RefSeq and is a predicted model, not a curated record. Lineage: Eukaryota; Metazoa; Chordata; Actinopteri; Syngnathiformes; Syngnathidae.